RNAcentral lists this ribosomal RNA (492 nucleotides) under uncultured bacterium. RNAcentral's name for it is "partial 16S ribosomal RNA". It matches the Rfam family "Bacterial small subunit ribosomal RNA", at positions 29 to 507 of the family's 1533-position model. The record is from RNAcentral.
AUUGAACGCUGGCGGCACGCUUUACACAUGCAAGUCGAACGGUAACAGGCCUUCGGGUGCUGACGAGUGGCGAACGGGUGAGUAAUGCAUCGGAACGUACCCAGAGGUGGGGGAUAACGCAGCGAAAGCUGUGCUAAUACCGCAUGUGAUCUGAGGAUGAAAGCGGGGGACCGAGCAGCAAUGUUUGGCCUCGCGCCUUUGGAGCGGCCGAUGUCGGAUUAGCUAGUUGGUGGGGUAAAGGCCUACCAAGGCGACGAUCCGUAGCUGGUCUGAGAGGACGACCAGCCACACUGGGACUGAGACACGGCCCAGACUCCUACGGGAGGCAGCAGUGGGGAAUUUUGGACAAUGGGCGCAAGCCUGAUCCAGCAAUGCCGCGUGCGGGAAGAAGGCCUUCGGGUUGUAAACCGCUUUUGGCAGGAACGAAACGGUGUCCGCUAAUACCGGGCGCUAAUGACGGUACCUGCAGAAUAAGCACCGGCUAACUACGUG